CCUGAUAAUCCAUUAUCUGAGCUCAAGUGGCAUGCUAGAGUAGUAAUACUUUAGUGUGAAGCCCACCUAAAUCCAUCUAUCAAUCAUAUUUGAAUAGAUGGUGAGCUAGUUAUCUAUGAACAACAUAAGUGA
Molecule: non-coding RNA, 132 nt
Filed under: Sporisorium reilianum SRZ2
Lineage: Eukaryota; Fungi; Basidiomycota; Ustilaginomycetes; Ustilaginales; Ustilaginaceae
Source: RNAcentral